CCUUCGAUAGCUCAGUUGGUAGAGCGGGGGACUGUGGAUCCCUAGGUCACUGGUUCAAAUCCUGUUUGAAGGA
Non-coding RNA from Dendronephthya gigantea, 73 nucleotides. Lineage: Eukaryota; Metazoa; Cnidaria; Anthozoa; Malacalcyonacea; Nephtheidae. The record is from the annotation of a RefSeq genome assembly.